CGCGGAGUGGAGCAGUUGGCAGCUCGUGGAGGCGUUGGCAGCAAGGUCGUAGGUUCAAGUCCUGCCUCCGCAACCA
Molecule: transfer RNA, 76 nt
Filed under: Clostridioides difficile
Lineage: Bacteria; Bacillati; Bacillota; Clostridia; Peptostreptococcales; Peptostreptococcaceae
Description: tRNA-Pro
Rfam family: tRNA
About the family: Transfer RNA (tRNA) molecules are approximately 80 nucleotides in length. Their secondary structure includes four short double-helical elements and three loops (D, anti-codon, and T loops). Further hydrogen bonds mediate the characteristic L-shaped molecular structure. tRNAs have two regions of fundamental functional importance: the anti-codon, which is responsible for specific mRNA codon recognition, and the 3' end, to which the tRNAs corresponding amino acid is attached (by aminoacyl-tRNA synthetases). tRNAs cope with the degeneracy of the genetic code in two manners: having more than one tRNA (with a specific anti-codon) for a particular amino acid; and 'wobble' base-pairing, i.e. permitting non-standard base-pairing at the 3rd anti-codon position.
Source: RNAcentral